Molecule: ribosomal RNA, 465 nt
Filed under: Vreelandella stevensii
Lineage: Bacteria; Pseudomonadati; Pseudomonadota; Gammaproteobacteria; Oceanospirillales; Halomonadaceae
Description: partial 16S ribosomal RNA
Rfam family: Bacterial small subunit ribosomal RNA
Source: RNAcentral
CCUACGGGUGGCAGCAGUGGGGAAUAUUGGACAAUGGGGGCAACCCUGAUCCAGCCAUGCCGCGUGUGUGAAGAAGGCCCUCGGGUUGUAAAGCACUUUCAGUGAGGAAGAACGCCUGGUGGUUAAUACCCAUCAGGAAAGACAUCACUCACAGAAGAAGCACCGGCUAACUCCGUGCCAGCAGCCGCGGUAAUACGGAGGGUGCGAGCGUUAAUCGGAAUUACUGGGCGUAAAGCGCGCGUAGGUGGCUUGAUAAGCCGGUUGUGAAAGCCCCGGGCUCAACCUGGGAACGGCAUCCGGAACUGUCAAGCUAGAGUGCAGGAGAGGAGGGUAGAAUUCCCGGUGUAGCGGUGAAAUGCGUAGAGAUCGGGAGGAAUACCAGUGGCGAAGGCGGCCUUCUGGACUGACACUGACACUGAGGUGCGAAAGCGUGGGUAGCAAACAGGAUUAGAUACCCCAGUAGUC